Molecule: long non-coding RNA, 1450 nt
Organism: Dermacentor albipictus
Lineage: Eukaryota; Metazoa; Arthropoda; Arachnida; Ixodida; Ixodidae
Source: RefSeq, a predicted model, not a curated record
UAUCAAGCGCGCGAUUUACAUGGCGUACCUUGCUUGUACAUACAGGCUACAUUGAAAUCCUGUGAUCAAGGUACUAGUAAAACAGGUUAACGCCAAAACAUUUUGGCGCUGCUACUCGUCACAGAAUCAGCUGGCCUUUCUGGACCAGCCGAACGAUUUCGUGCCGAGGCGGAGGAAGACACGCAGCACUUGUCUGUAGCUGCAAAAGACGCUGUUCUACCGCGCCGUGACAUUGUUAUGGUCCUCGCGUGACCCGCACAUGCAUUGAAGCUCACGGCAUCUGCAUUUCGUUUACAAUUAUGACGGACAAAGACUUGACAACGUUGAUCUCCCACCUAGGGCGCCUGUCAUCGGAGCAGCUACAGUGCCUGGAAUACGAAAACGCGUUUUCGUCCCUCCGGCUCAGAGGCUGCACGAUACGCCAAGGCAUGUGUAAGGUACGCGAAGCUCUCGAAGCCAUCACAUCACGGCAGAAACGGCUUCAAGGCGUGGCUUGGUUUUACUGCUGGCUCAUACCGCGAAACGCAAUUCCGUCGUGGACACUGUACAGAUUGGAAGAACCCGCGGCAAACGCCCCGAAGUUCACGCUGCACAGGCUGUUAGCGGACCGGAUGAGCUUCCCCGGUUCACAGCUGAUUUUAAUGCGCAAGGAGAGCUUGAGUGCCUGCUACGGCUGCAUCAUUCUUAAAGAUCUGUUGAAGUGGCCGCAGCAAAACCAGGUUUUAUGUUUGUACGUGUGGAAUGCGGUGCCCUAUAUGGCUAUACACACCAAUUCUGUUUUGCCCCUCAUUUCACUCAAAAUGAUUCUCGGACGCAAUCCCGAAGAACUUCUGGUCGGUUCUUACGAUGACAUCUGCACAGCGUAUACUGCGGCCUGCCAACACUUCCUCAGUCAACGCACCAAUCGACCGCCGUAGGUGUGAUGCGCUCACGACUUGCUUUGUGGACGUCCGAGCAAAUGGAAUUGCCGAUCGCCUACCAACGAGGUAUCAAGGCGCACUGGAGAUACGGCUGACAAGGAAGGCUAAUCUUGCGCAAGUAUACCGGGACAAUUUCGGUUGCGAGAUUCUCCGAUGUGAAACGGUGCCUGGAGACGACACUGGAAGAGCUACCCUUUGGAAACGUCCCCUGAUGGGAAAGAGGUUUCUUCUAACGCCUCGUUUUAUGUUAGCCCGACUGACCUACCAUAACGUGCCGGACGUUUAGUGCGAAGUCCGUAUAGGCCCCAUUACGCGAAAAUCCGGUUUUGUCGACGGGGGCGGCGUGACCGAAAAAUGGUACUAAUAAUGGCCGACGCUACGAUAAGUAAAAACACGUCGAAAAUGUUCGGACUGAUGUCAAAUUUGUGAGGCUGGUUUUUAUAAACAAAGUCAAUUGAUGGAAUAGGAAAUGAAAAUUCGGUACAUGGCGGCUUGGGUGUGAAUCUGUCCCGGGCCUCCGGCGUACUAGA